AGUAAAAUCAGCUAAUACUAAGCUUUUGGGCCCAUACCCCAAACACGUUGGUUAAAAUCCUUCUUUUACUA
Molecule: transfer RNA, 71 nt
Filed under: Nothobranchius foerschi
Lineage: Eukaryota; Metazoa; Chordata; Actinopteri; Cyprinodontiformes; Nothobranchiidae
Description: tRNA-Met
Rfam family: tRNA
About the family: Transfer RNA (tRNA) molecules are approximately 80 nucleotides in length. Their secondary structure includes four short double-helical elements and three loops (D, anti-codon, and T loops).
Source: RNAcentral